GUCAGCUCUGGCAACUAAAGUCCUUUAUUUAUUUAUAGAGCAGAUACAGCCUGGGCAGCAGCAGCAGCACUGCAAACAUUCCCACAUUGCCCCACCACUGUGCCUCAACCUUUCCAUGGAGAGACCAUCUUUAGGGGUAAGAGAGUAGCUCAGGUGCCAUGCCUUUGGCCCCUCUGUUAAG
Molecule: small RNA, 181 nt
Filed under: Pogona vitticeps (central bearded dragon)
Lineage: Eukaryota; Metazoa; Chordata; Lepidosauria; Squamata; Agamidae
Description: TUC338 (ENSPVIG00000013195.1)
Source: RNAcentral